AUAGCUGGUUCUCUCCGAAAUAGCUUUAGGGCUAGCCUCAAGUGAUGAUUAUUGGAGGUAGAGCACUGUUUGGACGAGGGGCCCCUCUCGGGUUACCGAAUUCAGACAAACUCCGAAUGCCAAUUAAUUUAACUUGGGAGUCAGAACAUGGGUGAUAAGGUCCGUGUUCGAAAGGGAAACAGCCCAGACCACCAGCUAAGGUCCCAAAAUAUAUGUUAAGUGGAAAAGGAUGUGGCGUUGCCCAGACAACUAGGAUGUUGGCUUAGAAGCAGCCAUCAUUUAAAGAGUGCGUAAUAGCUCACUAGUCGAGUGACACUGCGCCGAAAAUGUACCGGGGCUAAACAUAUUACCGAAGCUGUGGAUUGUCCUUUGGACAAUGGUAGGAGAGCGUUCUAAGGGCGUUGAAGCAUGAUCGUAAGGACAUGUGGAGCGCUUAGAAGUGAGAAUGCCGGUGUGAGUAGCGAAAGACGGGUGAGAAUCCCGUCCACCGAUUGACUAAGGUUUCCAGAGGAAGGCUCGUCCGCUCUGGGUUAGUCGGGUCCUAAGCUGAGGCCGACAGGCGUAGGCGAUGGAUAACAGGUUGAUAUUCCUGUACCACCUAUAAUCGUUUUAAUCGAUGGGGGGACGCAGUAGGAUAGGCGAAGCGUGCGAUUGGAUUGCACGUCUAAGCAGUAAGGCUGAGUAUUAGGCAAAUCCGGUACUCGUUAAGGCUGAGCUGUGAUGGGGAGAAGACAUUGUGUCUUCGAGUCGUUGAUUUCACACUGCCGAGAAAAGCCUCUAGAUAGAAAAUAGGUGCCCGUACCGCAAACCGACACAGGUAGUCAAGAUGAGAAUUCUAAGGUGAGCGAGCGAACUCUCGUUAAGGAACUCGGCAAAAUGACCCCGUAACUUCGGGAGAAGGGGUGCUCUUUAGGGUUAACGCCCAGAAGAGCCGCAGUGAAUAGGCCCAAGCGACUGUUUAUCAAAAACACAGGUCUCUGCUAAACCGUAAGGUGAUGUAUAGGGGCUGACGCCUGCCCGGUGCUGGAAGGUUAAGAGGAGUGGUUAGCUUCUGCGAAGCUACGAAUCGAAGCCCCAGUAAACGGCGGCCGUAACUAUAACGGUCCUAAGGUAGCGAAAUUCCUUGUCGGGUAAGUUCCGACCCGCACGAAAGGCGUAACGAUUUGGGCACUGUCUCAACGAGAGACUCGGUGAAAUCAUAGUACCUGUGAAGAUGCAGGUUACCCGCGACAGGACGGAAAGACCCCGUGGAGCUUUACUGUAGCCUGAUAUUGAAAUUCGGCACAGCUUGUACAGGAUAGGUAGGAGCCUUUGAAACGUGAGCGCUAGCUUACGUGGAGGCGCUGGUGGGAUACUACCCUAGCUGUGUUGGCUUUCUAACCCGCACCACUUAUCGUGGUGGGAGACAGUGUCAGGCGGGCAGUUUGACUGGGGCGGUCGCCUCCUAAAAGGUAACGGAGGCGCUCAAAGGUUCCCUCAGAAUGGUUGGAAAUCAUUCAUAGAGUGUAAAGGCAUAAGGGAGCUUGACUGCGAGACCUACAAGUCGAGCAGGGUCGAAAGACGGACUUAGUGAUCCGGUGGUUCCGCAUGGAAGGGCCAUCGCUCAACGGAUAAAAGCUACCCCGGGGAUAACAGGCUUAUCUCCCCCAAGAGUUCACAUCGACGGGGAGGUUUGGCACCUCGAUGUCGGCUCAUCGCAUCCUGGGGCUGUAGUCGGUCCCAAGGGUUGGGCUGUUCGCCCAUUAAAGCGGUACGCGAGCUGGGUUCAGAACGUCGUGAGACAGUUCGGUCCCUAUCCGUCGUGGGCGUAGGAAAUUUGAGAGGAGCUGUCCUUAGUACGAGAGGACCGGGAUGGACAUACCUCUGGUGUACCAGUUGUCGUGCCAACGGCAUAGCUGGGUAGCUAUGUGUGGACGGGAUAAGUGCUGAAAGCAUCUAAGCAUGAAGCCCCCCUCAAGAUGAGAUUUCCCAACUUCGGUUAUAAGAUCCCUCAAAGAUGAUGAGGUUAAUAGGUUCGAGGUGGAAGCAUGGUGACAUGUGGAGCUGACGAAUACUAAUCGAUCGAAGACUUAAUCAA
RNAcentral lists this ribosomal RNA (2077 nucleotides) under Staphylococcus aureus DAR3782. RNAcentral's name for it is "bacterial LSU rRNA". It matches the Rfam family "Bacterial large subunit ribosomal RNA", at positions 845 to 2925 of the family's 2925-position model. Lineage: Bacteria; Bacillati; Bacillota; Bacilli; Caryophanales; Staphylococcaceae. The record is from RNAcentral.